AAUAUAUAUGGAAGAUGCAGUAUUCUAGUCAUAGCCAGCUUUAAGGACGGCGAAGUAAUAGCGUCAAAGGGCAUAUCGGUGAAGUUUCUGGUGCAGGCUUUGGUUGCCCAAACUGGGGCGUGUGCUGGAAGUUAAGAUUUUUGGGCGAGCUGUAACGGCAUACAGAAGUCGUCCCAAUUUUCGCGGAGACUCAGUCGGGUGUGAAAGCACUCCCUGAGAGAAGAACCUGCAUUGCGGUAAAAGUCGUGUGCAGUGUAGCCUACUUUGAGUGAGUGUACGGGAAUCGGGUAUCCAACAUAUUCAACUAAUGUCGACGGGCACGUUGAAUAUCUGCUCGUGAAACUGCACUUGCAAAACAAGUGAAUUACUGAUGGCUGUGUCAGAGAAAAUCUCUAGACUGUUGCCUUAGCAGGCAAAGACAGGAUUAUAGUGUGUUCUGAGUGGCGAUUCGGUGUUAUGUCAUGCUUAAAAGGAAACUGCUUAAAUGGUGACAUUGAGUGCGUGGCUGGGAAAUCCGACCGAACCUAUGACACAAGGUUUACUGACUUUGUCGUCUU
This 557-nucleotide small RNA is filed under the name chicken gut metagenome. The record is from RNAcentral.